UGCUCAGUCCUGGCCUCUCUUGUUUCUCAAGUCUUGACCGUGAAGCGUGAAGCACCAGACCUGUCCGCUCGUCAUGUCGAUUCCCUUCCUUUUUUCUCCUGAUUGCUCUUGUACUAGCUCACCAUUGUUGCCAGUACUUUUCUAUUUAGUUUUUAUUGUGAAAACGUGGGCAUAAGUUUGGGUUCUUUAUUGUUUCUUUAAAUUUUGAGAAAAUUAUUAAGUUUAUGUUCAAUUGAUACGGAAAUGAUGCGUUAUCAAUGAACUAUCUGAACUGCAAUUCAGUUGAUAGCCAAAUUCUAGUAAGAUCUGGAAAAUGUUCUCUGAUAUGAAAAUAAUGAAUUGUCAGCAAGCUGCAUGUACUCUUCACAUUCAAUUUUACAUGCGCUGUCUUCCAUUCUUACAUGGAUGCUUAGCAUUGGCUUAGGAUUCAUACGAUGAGCUCUUCCUUGGGAUUCAGGGGAUAUCAGAUAAUUGGAGAAAAUUAAUUAAUUCGUCCUUAUUUGUGAUUCUUUUCUUCUAGUGGCUUAUUCUUUUUUCUUUUUCUUUUUUUUUUUUUCUUUCAGGAAAUGGGUUGAUGACAUUAAGCAAUUAGCAAAGGGGCUGGGAGAGAACUUCACUGAUAGAGAUGGUUGAUGAAGCUGACCCAGAUUGUAAGUUAUUCUGCUUUUGUCCUGGAUUCAGUUUGCAGAACUCUUAGUAGUGGUGUGUUGAAACUGUAUUCACGAGGAAUUACUUAUUUUUUUCAUUGUUGUAGUUUGUUGAAAUUUGCACUCUUCUUAAUAAAAACAAAACUUUACUCAUUUUAACGUCUGAAGAUUAUUUGCUAGAAAAUAAAACUAAUAAUUACAGGCUCGAAAUUGUUGAAACUAUAAUAGAACAUUUUGACAAAAAUUACUUUUAUAGGAAUUAUUUGAGAACUGAAAGUGAAACAGUGAAAAACUAAGAAUAUUAUUGCUCACAGUCAUAACAUACAUAGAUGAUAGAACACAUAAAACAAUUGAAAUCUACUCAUCAGCAGUUGAAUCUAAACCCAUUUCAGACAAUUGUUCUUCUACAUGUUGUUCUUUUGGUUGUUCAAAUAAGCUGUGUUUGUUUGUGUUAAUCACUACUCGAAAUAGGAGUGGAAAUUGAAAAAAUAUAAAGAAAGUAACGGGGAUUGUGGAAAGAAUAGUGAGUGGAAUGUCAAUCCAAGAUAAUCGUUUUUGGAGCAGAAUAAAAAUGCUAGAGCCAAAGGCUAUCAUCAUGGUUACUACAGAGAAGAAAAGAGUAGAAAGGCCAAUGAUUAGUUUUCUGGGUAAGGACUUGAGGAAAUCUUUCUCUGCAUAACGUGAAGUGAGGAUACCAAGAAAUAUUAGCACAGAAGUAUUAGACAAGAAGAGUGAUAGUGCAUUUGUAAUGACAAAUAUUAGAAAUGCAUCAUAACCCAAGAAUAUAGGAAUGCCUGUGUCAUUUUUGGUGCCACCAGGAAUUGUAAAAGCUGUUGUGAACACAACGGUGGCAAUGAGAGCAGCCACAACCAUACAUGAAGCUGUGGUAUUCUUCAUCCAUCUUUCACCUUCUUUCAUCAACUCCGCAUGUUCCUUGGUGAAUAAAGUGCUAGGUGUAUGACCAUUUUCAUUAGUUCUUUCCAUGAACUUUGUUGGUACCAUGCUUUGUAUUUCCUAGGGCAAAAAAAAAAAAGUUCUUUUAAUCAAGUUAAUCUAGAGCCAAUUUGGAAUAUUGCUAUUUGAACUAUCAUUAAAAAAAAGGUUGGAUGCGUAAUUUGUCAUUUCACUUUUUUACAAAAAGUUAUUUUAUCCUCUUAAUUUUAUCUUCAUUUUAUUUACACCAACUUUCAAAUUGUGAAUAACUUAAUCCUACAAUGCAAGUGAGAGUAUAUAUCAUCCCCUUCACUUUUUCAAUUGUGAAAUAACUUAUUUCCGAUGUUGUGGGUGCUAAUGAAUAUCACCCUCCUGUUGCAGUGAUUAAGUUAUUCUAUAGUUUGAAAGUUGAAGAGGCAAAUAGAAUAAAAAUAAAGUUGAGGAGAUAAUGUGAUUUUUAGUGAAAAGGUUAGUGGGUAAAUUAUGCAUUUGGACAAAAUAAGAUCUUACAUAUAGAAAAAAAAAAGUUUAUGUUAAUUACAUGAUUUUAAUUCAAUUCAAAGUGCUUUAGUUAUAAGAACAUAGAAAGGGGUGCCUUUUUAAAAGGUGGAUUCAACAUGCAAUAUCAACCUGGCCAUUAAUUUAUAAAUUUAAAAUCUAGAAGGAAAAUUUUAAAUAUAAAGAUUACCUUAAACCAUUGUAAUUCCUUUUGCAUUUGUAGAGCUGCACCAGGGACCCGAUCGAGUUGAAAGGAAGGGGACAGCUUAGCCGCCAUAUGUAAGAAGUUAUUUGAAAAUACAUCUCUUUUUGUCACUAUUGUGCGACGUUUUGCCCCCAAUCCAUAGAUAAGGCUAAAAAUUUUUUCUUGGCGAAGUAGGAUUGCAUAUGCAAAUAGUGUUCUUCCCUUGUUAUCAACUCUCCAUACUAAUUCAGGGUUAGAUUUGAUUAGCUCCUGGAUAAACUCAACUAGACCAUUCUUUAUUGCAUCAUAAAUUAUUAAAUUAAACCUAAGAUUCCUGAGUUCUUCGUUUCCUAAUGUUGGUAUUUCCUUGAGUAGCAAUUUGAGGAGUUGCAAGGCUUGAGCAUGUCUCUUCUUCAUAUCUUUUAUUCUUUCAGGGACUACAAUUACAUGAAAAAGUUGAGAGAUCAAUACAAUAAUGAAUGUUUGAUUGAAUGUUAAUUGAUUAAGUAGUUGAUGGCUUACCAAGAUGUUUUAGGGAUCUCCAAAGCAGUGCGUGCGCUAAGUUGACAACUGUAAGAAAAAUACCAUAUUUAUAAUAAUAUUUUAGUUUGAAUUAAUAUGAAAAUGAAUUACUAUUAUUACUAUGAUACAACUUAUUAUAUUUCUAGAGUCAUUUAGGAUAUACCUUGUUUUCUUGUGCUUGUUCCACAACUUGAACCUUGCUUCCUAUGCGUUUGGACAUUCUCUUCAUCUUUGGGCUUUGCGGGGUUAAUAUCAUCUUGAUAGGGUUCAGGAACACCUUUCAUGCCAUUUUAUACUUAUGUUUUAGCUAUUUUUAAAGCAAUGUAUGGACACGUAUUCACUUUUGUACUUACAUGAGUAUAACCAUUGGUUCCAAAAUCCAAGUGUACUUCCACUCAGAAAUGCUGAAGUUUUAUUAGCCAGCAAACUUAUAGAUAAAUUUCUAUGAAAAUCCUCCAUAAAACCAAGUCUUCGGUACUCCUUCUCCUUCAACAGAUGCAGUGCUUCAUCUUUAUUAACAAAUUAUAAAACAAUUAUAAAUUAGGGUAUCAAAGAUAUAAACAAAAUUAAUUAAAUUUAUAUAACUUCAAGAUGCUAAAAGAUAUUAAUAAGUUUUAAAUUCGAAUGUAAAUUUAAGUUUUAAAAUUAGAAAUAUACCACUAAUGGUGGCUACGGGAAUCAAAUAGGCCCAAUUUUACAUCAAAUCCAUUAAUUUUGGUCUCUAAAAUCGAGAUUCAAGCAGGGGCAGAGCCAUGGCGGCAUAUUCUAAGCAAUUAACGAGUCAUGUGCUGAGAUUAGAGGAGGCUAUAAGAGGUGACUUGUUUGACCCCUAAUGGCAGAAUUGUUGUUUUCAAAAACAGGCCCCUAUAGGGCUGCAUCCUUUUGUGAAGGAUUGAAUCCCUAACAAGUUGAAAAGAGAGGAAAGGAAUGAGAAAUGAAAGAAACAACAGAAAAAGAAAGGGGGAGAAGUGAGAGAAAGAGAGUGACAAGAAGAAAGAUUGAUUAGUAUUGAUAAUUCUCAAAAAGCCUUGCAAGAUAGCUUCUUCUGAGAUAUAUAGGUCUCAAUAACUGCCCUAACAGAAUCAACUACAGUUAUAGCAGAAUCAGCUACUACUGUUAACAUCUUUCAACUACUUAACUAUCGGAGACCACCCUAACUAUUUUAUUAAUUCCACGUGUAAUCGCCAACCCUCUUUACUCUCCUUACUGGUCAUAAUAUUCCCCACUUCUUGAAAUCAUUAUUGUCCUCAGGAAUGAGUAAUAGAAACUGCAACACCAAUAAAACUGUUGCUUUCAUAUACAGUAAUUGAGCAACAGAAUUCAACAGACAAAAGCCAAAAGAAUCAAAACGUUGAAUUGGGUUUUUUUUUCCUGCACCAUAGGAGAUGAUUUUUUUUCCUUGCCUUCUUGAUAUUUCCUAUUCGUCCUCCAUAGAAAGUAAGAAAUCAUAGGAUAGAAUCCACCCUCUUUCCAUUUUAGCUGAACAAUAACCACAUUAGAGAGCUUUGACAACCCUGUUCUGUUUUCUCCUUAUCAACAGAUGCAUACUAAAACUCAAAUCUCUUUUCCUCGAAAAAAAAAAGACAACCGCCUUCACAUGUUUUUCUCUUCAGCUGAGUUGAUUGUCCUAUAUAUCCAUCAAAUCAAGAUUACUUUCAUCUAAUGUUGUAUUUAGUAGUGGAUGCUUGGCCCAUAGGAAUUGCAAGAUAAUGGCCAUGCUGAACCAGGCUGCUUGAAUUUACAUGGCCAGCUUCUGAAAUGUGUCCAAGCUUCGAAUCUUGAGAACUUAGAUUUUCAAGGAAAGCUUUAGAAAUGUUACCAUCCUCAAAACGUAGAUUAUUCUCAUCAUUUGCAACAUAAGCAUCAUUCUCAAAGCUUUGCUGAAUCAAAUUUUCAAGAAUUUGAAAUUUUGGUUCCUUCUUUUGAACCAACUUCUUCUCAUCUCCAUUCCCAUGAAAACUUUUCUUGUCAUCAAGAGAAACAGUCUCCUUAUUCUCGCUUGCCUUAGUCUUUGCAAAUUCCCUGCCAGUACCCCGGGAAGUUUCCAUUUCAUGGUUUCUUUCUUCUUCUAUAUCUUCAUCAUUCUUCUCCUUAGUGUCCUCUCUUACACUAAAUAUAUUAGCAAGAAAAUCUUGCUCCAUUUCAAUAAUGCCCUUGUCAUUCUUAUUGGGAGUUUUACUUGGAGCAUCUUGGUCUUCAUUUGGCUUGUUGGAAUUUCCAAAAAGGUAAUCUUGUCAGUUUUCCGUUCACUGACAUCAGUUUUCUUAGAUUUUCUCCAUUACCAAUCCCCUCGUCUUGCAUUCUCUUAAGAUGUUAAAGCACAUCCAAUAGGAUCUUUUGUUGCCAAGGUUGUAGUUCAUUGGACUGAUUGUAGCAGUGGUAGGUAAUAUCUCUUUAGCAUUCUGACACCAAACAGAGAAGUGGCCUUUGAAGCUUUGUAAUUGAUGAAUUACAAAAGGAAAAUGUGUUAGAUUUGUGAUUCAUAAUCUAGUGGGAUACUCUUUCCUAAGUAGAGUGUUAGAGUGGAGGAUUUAUUCCUCAACAGGUGGAGGACUAUAAAAGGUAGAUUUGUUGUUUAUAUGUUAUCCUUUGAAUAAGUUUCUUAAUUAGUUAGGACUAAAGGGUUUAAUGCUAUAAAUAGAGGUAUGGUUGAUAGAUUAUUUGGCUCUUCCCAAUCGAAGAGAAAGGCUUUGUUAUUUUUUCAGGUGCCCAGAACGCUAGAGGGGAGAAGCAAACCGAACCUCUAAUCGACUUAUGUACAUGUUCCUGCGGCUCGGAUGAGUAUUCUUGUUUAUAUCGCUACGACUAUCAACACUUUCUUUUUCCUAUCAACAAAACAUCCCCUUUUUCUUCGCUCUUCCGGAACCGGUGCAGAAAUGGGUGCUUUUUUUACGUUGUUUACCUUAGUUACUGGGGGGUCUUAGGGAAGAACUAUGUGGGGAACCUUUUGGGUGUGUGAUGCUCAUUUAACUUCUGUAUUCAUCUCGUUCCUUAUUUACCUGGGUGCAUUGCAUUUUCAAAAGCUUCCUGUCGAACUGGCUUCUAUUUCAAUCUGUGCCGGACCGAUGGAUAUACCGAUAAUCAACUCUUCAGUCAACUGGUGGAAUACAUCGCAUCGACCUGGAAGCUUUCUCUCAUACCAAUUUUUAAGGAUUGAAUCCCUGUUCCCUAACAAGCCAGAAAGAGAGGAAAGGAGAGAGAAACAGAAGAAACAGCAGAGAGAGAAAGGAGAGAAUUGCAGAGUAGACAGAAUUAGAGAGAGAGAGAGAGAGAGAGAGGAAGAAAGAAUGAUUGAUUAGUAUUAAUUUGUAUUUUCCUUAUUAAUCAUAACACCUUUUUUAUUUAUUUAUUUUUUAAUAAGCUAAUUUUUAUGAUUAAAAGUGGAAAAGCGUAACAGAAUAAGCCAUACUAAUCCAGGAUCUGGACAUCUUUUAGAUGGUUGUUUUCUCUUAAGCUUCUCUUGCAAGUCUUGAGCAAACUCAUCGUUGUUCUAGACUUUUUCUCUGCUUCUUUCACUAGUUUUCUUCUAUAUAGAUUUUCAUCAUGGUCCCCGUUUGCAAUAUAAUAGGCUCAUAGUUUGUCAGUUUUCAUCUGUAUAGUUUCUUAUCAUUGAUCUCUAAAGAAUUGGCCCAAUUAUUAAGGGGGAUGGCUCCACCCCUAGAUUCAAGAUCAGACCUAUUAGAAUUCUUUUAAUUCUAAUUCUAUACCUAUACUGAACUAUAAAUAAGCCUUCCUAAGAGAUUAUUAAAAAUAUUACAUUGAAAUAAUUUUGGUGUAAGAAAAGAACAGAGUGGCAUACCAUAAAGUCCAUCAGAGAUGAAGCAGUUUAGAAGUGUAGCACCAUUCUUAUCACCCCUUAGUGGACUGAGAUACUGAAUGGGAGUUUUCUCAAGAAGAUAAUGUAUUGUUUCUCUUUGGUCAAAUAAUGAAGCUUCGACGAUUGGAAGACGGCCAUCAUAAUCAUUUCCUUUGGUAACCAAAUUUUUAUUCUUUGCCAACAUCACCUUCAUCAUAUCUAUCCUUCCAUUCAAGGCUGCAAGAGUAAAGGCUGUAUUGCCAUAAUUGGAUGUCAUUUCCAAGUCUUCUUCUGACAUUAACUUCACCAACUGUUCUGCAAUCUUCCAUUUUCCAGACAAUACAGCCACUUGAAGAGCAUUAAGACCCAUCAAUGAUAUCUUUUUCCUAACAUCAUUAGGAUUCUUUGAUAGCCAUUCUUCAGCUGUAUUCCAAUCUCCCUUUUCUAUUGCUUUGCAUAGGGUUUUGUAUUGAAGGAUGCUUGAUGUUUCUACAAUAACAUAUGCAUAUUAUAUUUAAAAAGAAGAAUUCCCUUAUAUAUAUAUAUUUGUGUGUGUGCAUAUGUAUAUAUAUCUGUAUUUGUUGAUUAUCAAAAUGGAAAAUUUUUUAAAAUUUAAAUAGCAAGUACCUUCUUCCUUGUAAUGCUUAACCUUGGAGGGCUUCUCGGCCAGGUGCUCCCAAACAAAUUUGGCGGAAUCAACUUCACUGGGAUACUUCCUCAUCAAAUUUGAAAUGGUGUCUUCCUCACAAGAAUUUUCAAUGGCAUGUAAAGCC
RNAcentral lists this long non-coding RNA (7353 nucleotides) under Manihot esculenta (cassava). RNAcentral's name for it is "long non-coding RNA (MESC_LNC003208)". Lineage: Eukaryota; Viridiplantae; Streptophyta; Magnoliopsida; Malpighiales; Euphorbiaceae. The record is from RNAcentral.